This 215-nucleotide long non-coding RNA is filed under the name Nicotiana benthamiana. RNAcentral describes it as "long non-coding RNA (NBEN_LNC019815)". The record is from RNAcentral. Lineage: Eukaryota; Viridiplantae; Streptophyta; Magnoliopsida; Solanales; Solanaceae.
CUCAAGUCCGAGAAUCCAAAAUUGAUUUUCUAACACAUAAAUAUGAAAUCUUUAAAAUGGAGAAGGAACCCAUUGGUAUUAUGUUUGAACGAUUAUUAAGAAUCGUCAACGAUCUCCAUGCUCUCGGGAAAGUUUACACGAACAAAGAUCUUGUUUGCAAAGUCCUACGGAGUCUCACUCCCGAAUGUCGUUCCAAAGCCAAUGCAAUCCAAGAG